AUGGUCAUGAUCGAAAAUGUUCAUCCCACUUUUAAUUUUCUUUAUCCUUGUUCAUACUUUUUUACUCCUCAUCGGUACUCUUAUCAUAUAUCCAUUUCAGUCGAUCGCCGGCAAGGUUCCAUCGACUCCGAUGAACAUGCUCGGCCUAAGAAGAAGAAGACCACCACCAAGAAGAAGAAGCGGGCACCAUCCACAUGUUUGUCGGCCUCGGAUCCGGAUGAUGAGGACUAUGUUGGGGAGGAAGAGGAUGACAUUGCUCCAAGACACUCUGUUGGCCAGUCAAAACUAGGCACUCGAAGGGCUCCCGUGCCUCAGGUCUGUGGAGCUAUGCUACCAACUGAGCUUGCGUUGGUUUCCCCUUGA
This 363-nucleotide ribosomal RNA is filed under the name Triticum aestivum (bread wheat). RNAcentral's name for it is "partial small subunit ribosomal RNA". The record is from RNAcentral. Lineage: Eukaryota; Viridiplantae; Streptophyta; Magnoliopsida; Poales; Poaceae.